RNAcentral lists this ribosomal RNA (253 nucleotides) under uncultured bacterium. RNAcentral's name for it is "partial 16S ribosomal RNA". It matches the Rfam family "Bacterial small subunit ribosomal RNA", at positions 524 to 776 of the family's 1533-position model. The record is from RNAcentral.
UACGAAGGGGGCUAGCGUUGUUCGGAUUUACUGGGCGUAAAGCGCACGUAGGCGGAUUGUUAAGUGAGGGGUGAAAUCCCAGGGCUCAACCCUGGAACUGCCUUUCAUACUGGCAAUCUCGAGUCCGGAAGAGGUGAGUGGAACUCCUAGUGUAGAGGUGGAAUUCGUAGAUAUUAGGAAGAACACCAGUGGCGAAGGCGGCUCACUGGCCCGAUACUGACGCUGAGGUGCGAAAGCGUGGGGAGCAAACAGG